Molecule: ribosomal RNA, 254 nt
Filed under: uncultured bacterium
Lineage: Bacteria
Description: partial 16S ribosomal RNA
Rfam family: Bacterial small subunit ribosomal RNA
Source: RNAcentral
UACGUAGGGUGCAAGCGUUAAUCGGAAUUACUGGGCGUAAAGCGUGCGCAGGCGGUUGUGCAAGACAGAUGUGAAAUCCCCGGGCUCAACCUGGGAACUGCAUUUGUGACUGCACGGCUGGAGUGCGGCAGAGGGGGAUGGAAUUCCGCGUGUAGCAGUGAAAUGCGUAGAUAUGCGGAGGAACACCGAUGGCGAAGGCAAUCCCCUGGGCCUGCACUGACGCUGAGAAGCGAAAGCAUGGGGGAGCGAACAGG